Molecule: ribosomal RNA, 1296 nt
Filed under: Nodularia douglasiae
Lineage: Eukaryota; Metazoa; Mollusca; Bivalvia; Unionida; Unionidae
Description: 16S ribosomal RNA
Rfam family: Archaeal large subunit ribosomal RNA (bases 1030-1193)
Source: RNAcentral
AAUCAUACACAUUUAGCAACCCAAAAAUUUAUAAGACAAACUGUAACCAAACUAGUAACUCAAAACAAAGCUUAAUCAAAAUUUACCGCAAGGUUAAUUAUAAUUAUAAAUUUUAGAAGUGAUACAUCCACCUACCUUUUGCAUAAUGUAAUUGCAAGAAAAACUAAUUUAAAUUCCCUCCCGAAAAGUGGAGAGCUACUACAGGCAUCAACAUUUAAUGUGACACUAUUAAAAAACAGCCUGUAAUAGCAGCGAAAUACCUAUCGAACCACUUGAUAGCUGGUUGUUCCUAAAAGGCAUAUAAGUGCCUUCUUACAGCCUAAACCAAAUCACUUUUCUGUAAGAAAAACCCUGAGAAGGAUAAGCUUUUCAGAGUCAAUAGAAAUAACAAAACAACGACACUUCAUAUAGGCUUAAAAACAGCCAAAAAUAUCCGUUAUAGGAAAUGACAUUAAAAAUCAAGAUAAAACAAAAAUUCUUCACAAUAAGGAACCUUAUAGAGCAACUUAACCUUCAAUGAACUGGCAAUUAUUAGUAUCUUUAAUAAUACACUCAACAAGUUAACUAUAAAAACAAAUAACAACCAAACAUACCAAUUAUACCUAAUUUACCAUUGGUAAUGAAUUCAGCAAAACUUUUCUCUGCCUGUUUAUCAAAAACAUCGUCUUUUGCCACUUAAAUCUAUAAAAGAUACUGCCUGCCCCAUGAUUAUAAUAUUUAAUGGCCGCGUUACCCCGAGCGUGCUAAGGUAUCGUAAUAAACAGCUCCCUAAUUAGGAGCCAGUGAAUGGCCAAACAGAGAAAAACUUUAUCACCAAUGAUAAGAAAAAUUUUCCUCUAAGUGAAAAGACUUAGAUAAAAGAAAAAGACAAAAAGACCCCGCGGAACUUCCUUAUAGCUUUAUACAUAAACCAGACUUAUGCUUAUAGCUAAUUGGUUGGUUGGGGCAACCUUGGAGCAAACAAAACCUCCAAACUUCUAACAAACCCAUAAAAAACUUGAUAUGGACUACAAUCGCAGUUACCCCGGGGAUAACAGCGUAAUCCAGUUUAAGAGUACGAAUCGAAAAUUGGGUUUGCGACCUCGAUGUUGGCUUAGGGAAAGCAAUUUGGCGCAACCGCUAAACUACAAUGCCAGUCUGUUCGACUGCUAACUCCCUACACGAGCUGAGUUAAGACCGGCGAGAGCUAGGUUGGAUUCUAUCUUUUCUUUAAAUAAGAUUCUUUAUUGUACGAAAGGACCCAAAGAAGCACACACAGUGCCUUAGUAAACAAUACAACCACUAACAUAAAAUUUA